Molecule: long non-coding RNA, 523 nt
Filed under: Ananas comosus (pineapple)
Lineage: Eukaryota; Viridiplantae; Streptophyta; Magnoliopsida; Poales; Bromeliaceae
Description: long non-coding RNA (ACOM_LNC005583)
Source: RNAcentral
CGCCACUAUUCCUCACUGCAUGUCAGCACUAAGGGGCUGUUUGGUUGCAUAUAGUUACAACUACACUGCAGUUGUAACUGUAUGUAAAUACAAAUUUCGUAUUUGGUUUGAUAUAUUUAACUUCAACUGCUGCUGUAGGAACUGUAGGAGGAGGCCCAACUACAGCAGAUCGAACUACGCCCAAAUUGGCCGUGGUUCCAACUACAGCAGUUGGAGAGAGUAACUUUAAAUAAAAAGUAUGCUUACCUCAAUAUUUUCUAAACAAAAAUAAUUUUUCUCUUUUACAUUGGAGGUAAUCUACCAUCAUAUAUAUAAAAUAAUAAAAUUUAAAAAAUUAUUUCUCAACUGCAUGCAACUAUACAAAUUAUUUAUACUUACAGCACUUUCUACUAUAUCCAAUCAAAUAUGAUUCAUAUAGUUAUAAUUGCUGUAUUUUCAAUUGCAUGCAUCUCUAACUACACUGUAAUUAUAAUUGCAUCUGACCAAACAGCCCCUAAUUACUUUUCGGACUACAACCUUCUUU